UGUGACCUACGGGACGCAGCAGUGAGGAAUAUUGGUCAAUGGGCGAGAGCCUGAACCAGCCAAGUCGCGUGAGGGAGUACUGCCCUAUGGGUUGUAAACCUCUUUUGUCGGGGAGCAAAAGCCGGACGUGUCCGGCUGUGAGAGUACCCGAAGAAAAAGCAUCGGCUAACUCCGUGCCAGCAGCCGCGGUAAUACGGAGGAUGCGAGCGUUAUCCGGAUUUACUGGGUGUAAAGGGAGUGCAGGCGGCUUGGCAAGUCUGAUGUGAAAGGCUGGGGCUCAACCCCAGGACUGCAUUGGAAACUGU
This 305-nucleotide ribosomal RNA is filed under the name uncultured bacterium. RNAcentral's name for it is "bacterial SSU rRNA". It matches the Rfam family "Bacterial small subunit ribosomal RNA", at positions 333 to 636 of the family's 1533-position model. The record is from RNAcentral.